Molecule: long non-coding RNA, 630 nt
Organism: Mus caroli (Ryukyu mouse)
Lineage: Eukaryota; Metazoa; Chordata; Mammalia; Rodentia; Muridae
Source: RefSeq, a predicted model, not a curated record
AUUGGGAAGCUCAUUUGGCCCCAGGGGAAACUGCUAUGACAAAUGCAGUUGUAACUGGCUAAGAAGCGGAAUGGGUCUCCGUGAAUCUGAAACUCACUGAGUCAGCUCACCGGCUGGGCAGUGAACUUCAGGGAUUUUGAAGCCUUUUUCACCCUACUUCCUCACAAGUGCUGGGGUUAUAGGGAGAAGAGCUGGGCAAGGUUAUGAAAGACCUUCUAUGUCCCUCAAUUAUGAAUGGACAUGGACAUCAUAUUGCCUUACUGAGGAUUGCAGGCAUGGAUAACAUGGGGCACCACGCUCACUUUAUUUGGUGAUGGGGAUCAAUCAAGCCUGGGGCUUUGUGAUUGCAUGAUGUGCCCAUAUGGACCACAAGUGCAUGUUGUCAGUCAAAGCCCUUCCUGCUCUCAAGCCGAGUGCGCCAUCUGGAGAUGCCGUUGCUUGUCUCCCACAGCUUUCCAUUGAUUCAGAGCUGUACACCUUUAAGCCUACUCCUCAGCAGGUCCGGUGUCUGGGCACCUGCAUGAAGUGGCUCCAGGCCUGGGGAUGCAGCUUAGUUUGUAGGACCUUAAGGAAUCUAAAGCUACAUCAACCUUUCCAGACCGAGAUCUUGUCCUUCCUUCCUCAACUGUC